AACGCACGAGACCUGCGGACCUGCGGAGGGAUCAUUACCGAGUGCGGGCCCUCUGGGUCCAACCUCCCACCCGUGUUUAUUGUACCUUGUUGCUUCGGCGGGCCCGCCAUUCUGGCCGCCGGGGGGCUUGCCCCCGGGCCCGCGCCCGCCGAAGACACCCUCGAACUCUGUCUGAAGAUUGUAGUCUGAGUGGAAUUAUAAAUUAUUAAAACUUUCAGCAAUGGAUCUCUAGAUCGGAAG
RNAcentral lists this unclassified non-coding RNA (240 nucleotides) under soil metagenome. RNAcentral's name for it is "partial contains 5.8S ribosomal RNA, internal transcribed spacer 2, and large subunit ribosomal RNA". The record is from RNAcentral.